RNAcentral lists this long non-coding RNA (398 nucleotides) under Hordeum vulgare. RNAcentral's name for it is "long non-coding RNA (HVUL_LNC016151)". Lineage: Eukaryota; Viridiplantae; Streptophyta; Magnoliopsida; Poales; Poaceae. The record is from RNAcentral.
AUGCAUUCAUUCCAUUUAUGCCUUCUUUGUGUUGUUGUUGUUGUGGGUUCAUGGAUGUGGUUGUGAUGUGGUGUGAUGUGAUGUGCUAGGUGAUGAUGAAGUGGGGUAUUUGAAAGUGGGGUGCUUCUAUGUUAGUUUUCAAAUAGGUUUCAAAACUCCUCCCUCUCUAUGUUUCUCAAGCUCAAGUUUGACUUACUCGAACCUUGGUUCAAAUGUGUAGAUCUUUUAGAGUGUUUUGUGGUGGAUAUGGUGCUAGGUUAAUUGUGAUUUUAAACUUUGUUUAAGUGGGGUAAAUAAUCACAAGACAUGUUAUUUAUUUCUGUUAUGUAAAUAUUUAAGUGCUCCGGAAAUUCCCUUUUCAUUUUAUUUAAAUAGGUCAUAAUUCCCUUAUGACCAGG